Molecule: ribosomal RNA, 332 nt
Filed under: uncultured bacterium
Lineage: Bacteria
Description: bacterial SSU rRNA
Rfam family: Bacterial small subunit ribosomal RNA
Source: RNAcentral
AAGUCAGAUGUGAAAUCCCCGGGCUUAACCUGGGAACUGCAUCUGAAACUGUUAGGCUAGAGUAGGUGAGAGGGAAGUAGAAUUUCAGGUGUAGCGGUGAAAUGCGUAGAGAUCUGAAGGAAUACCGAUGGCGAAGGCAGCUUCCUGGCAUCAUACUGACACUGAGGCUCGAAAGCGUGGGUAGCAAACAGGAUUAGAUACCCUGGUAGUCCACGCCGUAAACGAUGUCUACUAGUCGUUGGGUCCCUUGAGGACUUAGUGACGCAGCUAACGCAAUAAGUAGACCGCCUGGGGAGUACGGCCGCAAGGUUAAAACUCAAAUGAAUUGACGG